RNAcentral lists this long non-coding RNA (265 nucleotides) under Lathyrus oleraceus (garden pea). Its description in RNAcentral is "Pisum sativum (pea) long non-coding RNA (PSAT_LNC000005)". Lineage: Eukaryota; Viridiplantae; Streptophyta; Magnoliopsida; Fabales; Fabaceae. The record is from RNAcentral.
GCACAUAAACCAUUUCCCACUAAUUCAUUUUGGUUAAUUAUAAUUAGUGUUAGAUUAAGCAUUGCAUAUAUUUUUUUAAUUACUAACAAAAAGAAAAAAGCUAACAGCAAAGAAAUCAUUUUUUUCUGCAAUUUUUUCCCACAAUCUAACAGAAUAACUCUAAUCCCAAUUCUCACAACUUUUUUUCUAAAAACAUCACCCUCUCAAAAUCAACUCUCACAAAAUUACUCUCUCAAAAUCACUCUCACAAAAAUUACUCUCUCAU